GUGCCAAUAGCUCAGCUGGUAGAGCACCUGACUUUUAAUCAGGGGGUCGGAGGUUCAACUCCUCUUUGGCACA
This 73-nucleotide transfer RNA is filed under the name Caudoviricetes sp. RNAcentral describes it as "tRNA-Lys". It matches the Rfam family "tRNA". From Rfam's summary of the family: Transfer RNA (tRNA) molecules are approximately 80 nucleotides in length. Their secondary structure includes four short double-helical elements and three loops (D, anti-codon, and T loops). Lineage: Duplodnaviria; Heunggongvirae; Uroviricota; Caudoviricetes. The record is from RNAcentral.